GCUACACGCGACUGAGAUUUGUGCGUCAACAAUCACACAAAAGUUUUGGAAAAGUUGCUUGCCUUGCAGUGGGGAGAGCACAUUAAUUGAAAUCGGCUGGGAGUUCUUUCAAAAAUGUCCGGCUGGGUUUUUGGUGUUGAACUCGCUCCCCCCCGCCGCCCCACUACAUUCUCAAAAUGUUUAGAGAGGGAUUACCCAGGGACUAUGGAAAGCUACAAACUCAGCAACAUCUUUUUUAGUAUGGUGGUCCUGCAAAGAUCCAUUAUUACACAAAGCGAGACAGAUCACUCUGAUCAAGAAGUGAUGCGCAUUACACGGAGCAUUACGGCAGCCUGGGACACCUCCAGUUGUACAAGUAAUAAUGAAGCCUCUUGCCGCUGAAGCUGAACUUGAGCUUCUCCAGGAAACGUUGGUUAUCCAUCACAUCAGCGGCAAUGAUGAUGUCAAAUCCUUUCUAAAAAAAUGAAAUAGAAUACUUUGAAUCUGCACAAGUCGGUUGUAACUUUGUAAACAACUCACAGAUUUGACCAGGACCAGGGUGUCCU
Long non-coding RNA from Syngnathus typhle (broad-nosed pipefish), 545 nucleotides. RefSeq lists it as uncharacterized. Lineage: Eukaryota; Metazoa; Chordata; Actinopteri; Syngnathiformes; Syngnathidae. The transcript is spliced from 3 exons. The record is from RefSeq and is a predicted model, not a curated record.